This is a long non-coding RNA of Leopardus geoffroyi (Geoffroy's cat), 792 nucleotides long. RefSeq lists it as uncharacterized. The record is from RefSeq and is a predicted model, not a curated record. The transcript has 2 exons. Lineage: Eukaryota; Metazoa; Chordata; Mammalia; Carnivora; Felidae.
GGGAAGGGCCAAGAUUACCGCAGUGAUCUCAGGCCUGAGUUCUUGAGCUGCUGAACCAGAGCCUGUCAUGGCCCUACCUCUUCACUUCUUGUGAAAGACGAAAACCAGGAGAAAACGCCGAUGUUUGACACUUUCUGUCGCCGAGCUCCACCUUAGACGUGUGAAACCACACGUGCAUGUGACAGAUCCAACCAGAAGGAGGCGGCACCAGUUACCUACGGAUUCUGGUCUCCCUCUCCCUCUAACCUCCUCUCUAUCCUGCCACUGGCAUUUUCUUCCAUCCCUCCCGAUUCAGAAAACAGGACGCAGGCCCUUCACAACCCGGUCCAAGUCAACUGUUCCGAGUUCUAGCAAAACGCCUCAGUCCACUGAUACCUGGUCAGACUAACCAGCUAACUUGAGCGGUCUGAGCUUCGUAGGUUAAAGAUUCACCGAAGGACAUAAAACACCAAAAAGAAGAUCACUUCUUACACCAAAGGCAGAAAGAUCAGCUCUCUGUCGCUUGGGACUCUCUUUCUUUUGAAAAGUUUUAAAACAUCUUAUAGCACAAAAGGGAAAAUGCUUUGCUAUUUUGGGCCGCUUCUUUCACUCUUGUAAAUGACAUCUGUAAUGUCAACAUUCAGCGAGCGCUAUUCGGAAUUUGGCACUUUUAAUUCGUGUGAAAAUGCCAAUUCCACUGAGUAAAGAAGAUAUUAAAGUUAUACUCAACGUAAAGUGCAAAUAUUUCAUCAAAGUGGGUUCAAGAUAAAAGUGUUAAUUACAUGUAAAAAUUAAAUACCACCUUAUGAAUCA